This 308-nucleotide ribosomal RNA is filed under the name uncultured bacterium. Its description in RNAcentral is "bacterial SSU rRNA". It matches the Rfam family "Bacterial small subunit ribosomal RNA", at positions 504 to 811 of the family's 1533-position model. The record is from RNAcentral.
CGUGCCAGCAGCCGCGGUAAUACGAAGGGGGCUAGCGUUGCUCGGAAUCACUGGGCGUAAAGGGCGCGUAGGCGGCGCUUUAAGUCGGGGGUGAAAGCCUGUGGCUCAACCACAGAAUGGCCUUCGAUACUGGGACGCUUGAGUAUGGUAGAGGUUGGUGGAACUGCGAGUGUAGAGGUGAAAUUCGUAGAUAUUCGCAAGAACACCGGUGGCGAAGGCGGCCAACUGGACCAUUACUGACGCUGAGGCGCGAAAGCGUGGGGAGCAAACAGGAUUAGAUACCCUGGUAGUCCACGCCGUAAACGAUG